RNAcentral lists this ribosomal RNA (699 nucleotides) under Lelliottia sp. Its description in RNAcentral is "bacterial SSU rRNA". It matches the Rfam family "Bacterial small subunit ribosomal RNA", at positions 46 to 734 of the family's 1533-position model. The record is from RNAcentral. Lineage: Bacteria; Pseudomonadati; Pseudomonadota; Gammaproteobacteria; Enterobacterales; Enterobacteriaceae.
GCCUAACACAUGCAAGUCGAACGGUAACAGGAAGCAGCUUGCUGCUUUGCUGACGAGUGGCGGACGGGUGAGUAAUGUCUGGGAAACUGCCUGAUGGAGGGGGAUAACUACUGGAAACGGUAGCUAAUACCGCAUAACGUCUUCGGACCAAAGAGGGGGACCUUCGGGCCUCUUGCCAUCAGAUGUGCCCAGAUGGGAUUAGCUAGUAGGUGGGGUAAUGGCUCACCUAGGCGACGAUCCCUAGCUGGUCUGAGAGGAUGACCAGCCACACUGGAACUGAGACACGGUCCAGACUCCUACGGGAGGCAGCAGUGGGGAAUAUUGCACAAUGGGCGCAAGCCUGAUGCAGCCAUGCCGCGUGUAUGAAGAAGGCCUUCGGGUUGUAAAGUACUUUCAGCGAGGAGGAAGGCAUUAAGGUUAAUAACCUUAGUGAUUGACGUUACUCGCAGAAGAAGCACCGGCUAACUCCGUGCCAGCAGCCGCGGUAAUACGGAGGGUGCAAGCGUUAAUCGGAAUUACUGGGCGUAAAGCGCACGCAGGCGGUCUGUCAAGUCGGAUGUGAAAUCCCCGGGCUCAACCUGGGAACUGCAUUCGAAACUGACAGGCUAGAGUCUUGUAGAGGGGGGUAGAAUUCCAGGUGUAGCGGUGAAAUGCGUAGAGAUCUGGAGGAAUACCGGUGGCGAAGGCGGCCCCCUGGAC